This 253-nucleotide ribosomal RNA is filed under the name uncultured bacterium. Its description in RNAcentral is "partial 16S ribosomal RNA". It matches the Rfam family "Bacterial small subunit ribosomal RNA", at positions 524 to 776 of the family's 1533-position model. The record is from RNAcentral.
UACAGGGGGUGCAAACGUUGCUCGGAAUUAUUGGGCGUAAAGCGUGCGUAGGCGGUUCGCUGUGUCCGAUGUGAAAGCCCCGGGCUUAACCUGGGAAUGGCAUUGGAAACUGGCGGGCUUGAGUGCGGCAGAGGGGGGUGGAAUUCCGCGUGUAGCAGUGAAAUGCGUAGAGAUGCGGAGGAACACCGAUGGCGAAGGCAGCCCCCUGGGUCGACACUGACGCUCAGGCACGAAAGCGUGGGGAGCAAACAGG